This is a long non-coding RNA of Ornithodoros turicata, 568 nucleotides long. RefSeq lists it as uncharacterized. The record is from RefSeq and is a predicted model, not a curated record. The transcript is spliced from 3 exons. Lineage: Eukaryota; Metazoa; Arthropoda; Arachnida; Ixodida; Argasidae.
UGUUACGAAACCACCCAGAUGCUACGAACAUCGAAUUAUGGUCGGAAGACGAACACAUUGACGUCUGAGGGGUACGUAAGUGCACUGUCAUCGUGAUGUAUCAUUUUGUUGAAUGUCUCCUGCGUGAUCCAGACCAAUAUUAAAAGUCGUUAAACUCCGCUUGCUAAAAUGUCAGCCAGCGUCGUAUAUAAACCCCGACAGACGUACGGGUGAAAAGACAGCCAAGCAGGAGAUAUCAUGAGGAUCACUCUCGUUUCAUUCGUGGUUUUCAUUGUCGUGGCUUCUUGUGGCGACUUCGCAUUUGGGUGCAACAGCUGUGACCGCGAUGGAUGCGACAGAUAUGAUCAUAUCCAAGGUCAUUCGUCGUGCAUUCAAGACUGGUGCAAGCUGAUCACCGAGGGCGGCAGCAAAUGCUGCGUCAAGAAGUAGCAAUAAUGUGGACACGGUCGUGGACAAGAGUUCUUCAACGAAAGAGCCAACAGUGCUUCACGGAAAGCUUUUUCUAUACCACCUCACAGAAUAUAGCUGAAUGUCGAAAACCAAGAAAUAAUAAACAUAGACUGAUAUA